AACUAGUACAGAAUAUCUUAUUCAAUAUACAGUUGAACUUAAGCAGCAGCUAAUUUAAACUAGAAAGUAUGAAAAACUAUAAAUUAAUAGCCGUCUUUGCACUGAUAGUGACGUUGAUAGCAAAUGUAGUUGGUAGGGCAAUAGAUCCUGCCGUGUUAGCAUCACUAGUAGGGUAGGCAUCAGGAUAAAUCUAAAUAAUUACAGAAAA
Molecule: long non-coding RNA, 208 nt
Organism: Pogonomyrmex barbatus (red harvester ant)
Lineage: Eukaryota; Metazoa; Arthropoda; Insecta; Hymenoptera; Formicidae
Source: RefSeq, a predicted model, not a curated record